CCUACGGGUGGCAGCAGUAGGGAAUCUUUCACAAUGGGCGAAAGCCUGAUGGAGCAACGCCGCGUGCAGGAUGAAGGCCUUCGGGUUGUAAACUGCUUUUAUAAGCGAGAAAUAUGAUGGUAACUUAUGAAUAAGGAUCGGCUAACUACGUGCCAGCAGCCGCGGUCAUACGUAGGAUCCGAGCAUUAUCCGGAGUGACUGGGUGUAAAGAGUUGCGUAGGUGGCAUAAUAAGUAGCUAGUGUAAUCUGGUGGCUCAACCAUUCAGACUAUUAGCUAAACUGUUAAGCUCGCGACCGUUAGGGGUAACUGGAAGUUCUAGCGUAGGAGUGAAAGCAGUAGAUAUUAGAAGGAACACCAAUAGCGUAGGCAGGUUGCUGGGACGGUUCUGACACUAAGGCACGAAAGCGUAGGGAGCAAACGGGAUUAGAUACCCCUGUAGUC
Molecule: ribosomal RNA, 442 nt
Filed under: uncultured bacterium
Lineage: Bacteria
Description: partial 16S ribosomal RNA
Rfam family: Bacterial small subunit ribosomal RNA
Source: RNAcentral